RNAcentral lists this ribosomal RNA (253 nucleotides) under uncultured bacterium. Its description in RNAcentral is "partial 16S ribosomal RNA". It matches the Rfam family "Bacterial small subunit ribosomal RNA", at positions 524 to 776 of the family's 1533-position model. The record is from RNAcentral.
UACGGGGGGGGCAAGCGUUGUUCGGAAUUACUGGGCGUAAAGGGCGCGUAGGCGGCCUGCUAAGUCGGACGUGAAAUCCCCCGGCUCAACCGGGGAACUGCGUCCGAUACUGGUGGGCUCGAAUCCGGGAGAGGGAUGUGGAAUUCCAGGUGUAGCGGUGAAAUGCGUAGAUAUCUGGAGGAACACCGGUGGCGAAGGCGGCAUCCUGGACCGGCAUUGACGCUGAGGUGCGAAAGCCAGGGGAGCAAACGGG